UACGUAGGGUGCAAGCGUUGUCCGGAAUUACUGGGCGUAAAGAGCUCGUAGGUGGUUUGUCGCGUUGUCCGUGAAAACUCACAACUCAAUUGUGGGCGUGCGGGCGAUACGGGCAGACUGGAGUACUGCAGGGGAGACUGGAAUUCCUGGUGUAGCGGUGGAAUGCGCAGAUAUCAGGAGGAACACCGGUGGCGAAGGCGACUACCUGGCCUGUUCUUGACGCUGAGGCGCGAAAGCUAGGGGAGCAAACGGG
RNAcentral lists this ribosomal RNA (253 nucleotides) under uncultured bacterium. RNAcentral describes it as "partial 16S ribosomal RNA". It matches the Rfam family "Bacterial small subunit ribosomal RNA", at positions 524 to 776 of the family's 1533-position model. The record is from RNAcentral.